GGAGGGACCAGGUGGACAUGCCAAAGGUCAAAGCACGAUCAUGGGGCAAAACCACCCAGGUCACCUGCUUAGAUCCCAAAGUUCAGGCCUGCCUGAGUCAGAGGGCAGAGCAGGCCUAGGACUGCAGGUUCCAAGAGUAAGGAUGAUGCUUGAGCCACUGGAGCUGGGCAGCAGAGACUGGGUACAACAGGGAGGAAGAGGAAGUAAAGGCCACCCGGGGGCUGCAGAAAGGGUGCCACUCAACUGAGAGCUGGAGGAUCCUUAGGAAUUGAGUUUGGAGAGAGCUGGGAAGCAGGGACUCAGAGAAGGUUGGGGCUUUCCCAAAGUCACACAGCAGGUUGGGAUCAGGAAAGUGCAUUUGUGUGCUGACAGCCAGGGGUCAUGGCCCAGUCUCAGCUCACAGGCUGUACUUCCCCACUUUUGCUCCUCACCAACUCUUCCCUCCCCUCUAAGACACCCACUUCCCCGUCUCUGCCCUGUAAUUAGGAGUUGGGUGGAGGGCAGUGUUCUCAGCAUUCGGGGUCUAGUCUCAGGACUGUCAAGUUGUAUGCUCAGCUAGCCAGGUGUUCUCUCCAAUCUCUCAGCAUGAGUGGGGCCCACUCAGGCCAGAAGAAGGCUGGUGAGACCCAACGGGGUCACAAGAUUCUGCAGUCCCAGCCCCAUUGAGGCUUGUCUUAGUCCAGAGACACUUCACAAAGUGUCUUCACUUAAUCAGCAUCUUGUCCAUUCCUUUUCAGCAUCACUUAGAUGUUACCUUUGUAACUUUCUGAACCUCAGUUUCCUUAUCUGCAAAAUGGGAACCAUGAAACCUGCCUCACAGACUGAAGAGAAUGUUGAACAAAAUCAGUGUGGGAAAUUGCUGUAAACCCUAAAAUGUUUGUAGAGUGUCAGCUGACUAUGAGCUCCUGAAGGCAUGACCUUGCCCUCUUCUUCUCUACCCUAAGGGUAAUGUGCAGAGCCUGUGGAGAGAGAUGCCUAUCAAGCCUUUGUUGGAUGAAAGAAGGUUGAGCCCACACAGCAUGCAGGAAUCUUAGUUCCCUGACCAGGGAUGGAACCCAUACCCCCUGCAGUGGAAGCACGGAAUCCUAACCACUGUACUGCAAGGGAAUUCCCCCUUUGUUCUGUGUCCUGCACUCUGCCACGCCUGUUAUGCCAAGUGGAAGCAAGUGAAAACCACAGCCCUCACUGGUUCCCCCUUUCCCACUUGAAGCCCAGGCUGCUGCUUCCCCAUCUGUACCAAACUGGAAGACCUGUACCAUAUAGACAGGGGUUGGGUCCCCUGACUCUCAGUUUUCUCAUCUGUAAUUUAGGAGUAAAAAUACUCAAUGGUAUGUUGUGAGACUAAAUUAGAAAAUCAAUGUAUCUGGUGCACAGGUUCAUUAUAAACUAUAGGAAUGGAUAAAUAAAAACAAACCCUCGAGUCUGCUCUAACUUCAAAACCAAAGCAAACCAAACUCUGAUCAGAAAACGCAGAUGCUGUACAGCUCGUAGUAUACCCCUUGGGACUCCCAUUGUGGGCCCCAUUUCUGUCCUUGACGUCCCACAGGCUGGACGCACUUGUGGAGGCAGGCUGCCCAGAGGAGGUGGGCCUACAGCAGCCCCAGAAAGAGGCAGGAGGCGGAAUUAGGAGUUAGGAUGAGGCCCUAUGGGUCUUUCUCUGACUCAGGAUGGUCUAGAGCAGCAGCCCAGGACCUGCACUGUGUGAGGGACCCAAGCGGUUGCUGCCGGAGAGGCCUUAAGUCUUCAGCUUUCAGCAGAGGCUCCACACAGGGCUGCUGCCAGCCCACACAGCCUGGGGAAAGGCACCACACUAGGCAGACAGAGCCCUGCGCCAGAGCUUCUGACAGGGGGAACAGAGCAUGUGCUGGACUUCAGGGGCUGGACAUCCUUACACACUGCCCAGCCUGCAGCUGGCAGGGACCAGUGACCUCCCCAGUAACUCAGAGGCUGACAGAGCAACUUCUCUUUCUCCACGCAGCAGCUCACCCUGUGCCCAUCGCCUCCAGGCCCACUCCUCCCCAAGCUGGAUCCCGAUACCCACUCCAGCCCCUUAGCUCUUCAGCACUGUCGGGCACAAAGUAGUAUCAGUGUUGGAUUUCCACCAAAGGUCAGGAGGGUGGAGAGGAACAUCACAGCUAAGCACUGCAGGCAACCAAACGGUGGCCAUCUUGUUUUAAAACCCAUCAGCCAUUUCCUAUCCUGCCACACCUGACUCAGGCCACAGCUUGCAGACAUCUGCUGCUGCUGCUGCUAAGUUGCUUCAGUCGUGUCUGACUCUGUGCGACCCCAUA
Long non-coding RNA from Bubalus bubalis (water buffalo), 2291 nucleotides. RefSeq lists it as uncharacterized. The record is from RefSeq and is a predicted model, not a curated record. The transcript has 3 exons. NCBI's taxonomy places the organism in Eukaryota, Metazoa, Chordata, Mammalia, Artiodactyla, Bovidae.